This 485-nucleotide long non-coding RNA is filed under the name Amborella trichopoda. Its description in RNAcentral is "long non-coding RNA (ATRI_LNC005199)". Lineage: Eukaryota; Viridiplantae; Streptophyta; Magnoliopsida; Amborellales; Amborellaceae. The record is from RNAcentral.
CGACAGUGUACAGUUCCGGUCCUGCAGGAUGGAUGGGUCUAGCAAUAUACAACUGCAGUCCGGUGUUUCUUUUUAUUGGGAUAAACAAAAAUGAACUUUUUGUAUUAGGGUAUUUGUUAUAAAACUUAAUUUUGGAAAAAAAUAUGCUAAAAAAAUUUAGGGUGGGGUACAAUGUUUAGAAACUCUUUUGUUGAGGUUUCAUGCAAUUUUUUCAUAUUUCAAAUCCUCAUUUGAAAACAUGCAAAAGGUGAGGUGGCGGUUUAUGGGAGUGUUGAUCUGUGAUGACGGCUGAUAGGAUGGGCGGUGAUGAUGGUCUUCAAGAUGGUGAGAAGGGGGAUUAUAUGAUAGAAGGUUUUGGGGUGAACAGGGACAUCUAGUUGCAGAGAGCGAUACGAGCAAAUUCUUAUCUCAUCGGAAGGCCGUUUUUGCCUUUAAGCCAAAGCCUCUUAAAGCUUCGGUUCGAAGUGAUUGGCCACAAGACCGGG